UAGAAUUUUUAUUAGCUUAGAGUAUUUAAUUUGCAUUUAGAUUAUGACUUUAUGUCCUAAGUUGGUAUA
Molecule: transfer RNA, 69 nt
Filed under: Parasacculina shiinoi
Lineage: Eukaryota; Metazoa; Arthropoda; Thecostraca; Polyascidae
Description: tRNA-Ala
Source: RNAcentral